Molecule: ribosomal RNA, 331 nt
Filed under: uncultured bacterium
Lineage: Bacteria
Description: bacterial SSU rRNA
Rfam family: Bacterial small subunit ribosomal RNA
Source: RNAcentral
CGCGUAGGUGGUUUGUUAAGUUGAAUGUGAAAGCCCCGGGCUCAACCUGGGAACUGCAUCCAAAACUGGCAAGCUAGAGUAUGGUAGAGGGUGGUGGAAUUUCCUGUGUAGCGGUGAAAUGCGUAGAUAUAGGAAGGAACACCAGUGGCGAAAGCGGCUUCCUGGUCCAGCACCGACGUUCAGGCACGAAAGCGUGGGGAGCAAACAGGAUUAGAUACCCUGGUAGUCCACGCCAUAAACGAUGAGAACUAGACGUUGAGAGGGUAAGCCUCGCAGUGUCGUAGCUAACGCGCUAAGUUCUCCGCCUGGGGAGUACGGCCGCAAGGUUGAA